RNAcentral lists this ribosomal RNA (308 nucleotides) under uncultured archaeon. RNAcentral describes it as "bacterial SSU rRNA". It matches the Rfam family "Archaeal small subunit ribosomal RNA", at positions 526 to 834 of the family's 1478-position model. The record is from RNAcentral.
CUGUUCUGCAAGUCCUCCGUUAAAUCCACCUGCUUAACGGAUGGGCUGCGGGGGAUACUGCAGAGCUAGGAGGCGGGAGAGGCAAGCGGUACUCGAUGGGUAGGGGUAAAAUCCGUUGAUCCAUUGAAGACCACCAGUGGCGAAGGCGGCUUGCCAGAACGCGCUCGACGGUGAGGGAUGAAAGCUGGGGGAGCAAACCGGAUUAGAUACCCGGGUAGUCCCAGCUGUAAACGAUGCAGACUCGGUGAUGAGUUGGCUUCAUGCCAACUCAGUGCCGCAGGGAAGCCGUUAAGUUUGCCGCCUGGGGA